RNAcentral lists this ribosomal RNA (883 nucleotides) under Fructilactobacillus sanfranciscensis. RNAcentral's name for it is "bacterial SSU rRNA". It matches the Rfam family "Bacterial small subunit ribosomal RNA", at positions 57 to 896 of the family's 1533-position model. The record is from RNAcentral. Lineage: Bacteria; Bacillati; Bacillota; Bacilli; Lactobacillales; Lactobacillaceae.
GCAGUCGAACGAAGUCGCCCAAUUGAUUCUUAGUGCUUGCAUUAAGAUGAUUUUGGAUCCGACUGAGUGGCGAACUGGUGAGUAACACGUGGGUAACCUGCCCAGAAGAAGGGGAUAACACCUGGAAACAGAUGCUAAUACCGUAUAACAACAAGAACCACAUGGUUCUUGUUUGAAAGCUGGCCUUUGUGCUAGUGCUUCUGGAUGGACCCGCGGCGUAUUAGCUAGUUGGUGAGAUAAUAGCUCACCAAGGCAAUGAUACGUAGCAGACCUGAGAGGGUAAUCUGCCACAAUGGGACUGAGACACGGCCCAUACUCCUACGGGAGGCAGCAGUAGGGAAUCUUCCACAAUGGACGAAAGUCUGAUGGAGCAACGCCGCGUGAGUGAAGAAGGGUUUCGGCUCGUAAAACUCUGUUGUUAGAGAAGAACAGCCGUGAGAGCAACUGCUCACGGUAUGACGGUAUCUAACCAGAAAGUCACGGCUAACUACGUGCCAGCAGCCGCGGUAAUACGUAGGUGGCAAACGUUGUCCGGAUUUAUUGGGCGUAAAGGGAGCGCAGGCGGUUUAUUAAGUCUGAUGUGAAAGCCUUCGGCUUAACCGGAGAAGUGCAUCGGAAACUGAUAAACUUGAGUGCAGAAAAGGAUAGUGGAACUUCAUGUGUAGCGGUGAAAUGCGUAGAUAUAUGAAGGAACACCAGUGGCGAAGGCGGCUAUCUGGUCUGUAACUGACGCUGAGGCUCGAAAGCAUGGGUAGCAACAGGAUUAGAUACCCUGGUAGUCCAUGCCGUAAACGAUGAAUGCUAGGUGUUGGAAGGUUUCCGCCUUUCAGUGCCGCAGCUAACGCAUUAAGCAUUCCGCCUGGGGAGUACGACCGCAAGGUUG